Molecule: ribosomal RNA, 253 nt
Filed under: uncultured bacterium
Lineage: Bacteria
Description: partial 16S ribosomal RNA
Rfam family: Bacterial small subunit ribosomal RNA
Source: RNAcentral
UACGUAGGGUGCAAGCGUUAAUCGGAAUUACUGGGCGUAAAGCGUGCGCAGGCGGUUUUGUAAGUCUGGCGUGAAAUCCCCGGGCUCAACCUGGGAAUUGCGAUGGAGACUGCAAGGCUAGAAUCUGGCAGAGGGGGGUAGAAUUCCACGUGUAGCAGUGAAAUGCGUAGAGAUGUGGAGGAACACCGAUGGCGAAGGCAGUCCCCUGGGUCAAGAUUGACGCUCAUGCACGAAAGCGUGGGGAGCAAACAGG